GCAUGUUUACAUUUGUUCUGUUAUGCAUGCGCGAGCGCCAAGCUGUGGUUGAUAGGAGGAAGUGGUCAACGAGCGUAUCUCGCGCACGACCUGGGCGCCGAGUGGUGCACGCACGCCGCGGACGUGGGGAUGGACGCGUCGUGCGCGUGGUGUGCGGACAUCACCGGAGCUCUGCAUGUAAUCGCAAAUAAGAAGAGAAGUAAACCAACGAAAACGCUGCGGCAGUUUGAGCAGCACCAAAUACUCUGUGUUCUUGUUCGUGAGCUUCGCUCUCUCUCAAUUCUCUCUUUUCGGUGCGCGUGUGUUCCCGGCGUUCGUCCCUCGUCGCCCGGGGACUGACAUUGGUAACAAAAUUUCACUAAUUCUGAUGAACCCUGAGGAAAUCGAAGAAGAAGCCACUAAUAUGAACAAAUGCUGAUAAAGUCCAUCCAAAAAUCAGAGAAGCCUAAUGAAGAUUUCUAACUCAAAUGUACGAUAACUAGUGACGAUCAGGAAGUGCACAAUCAGAGAGCUGAUAUGUUGUUCCAUACAAAUCCCUGACCCAUGUCAUGGGGAAGUUGAGGUCCAUUUACAGAAACUCUGUAAAUAAUAGAAUUGGAGCCAAUCAAUCGUCACAGGUCGUGAUGAAUGGAGUUAUACUGUAAUUGAUAUAUUAUUAUAGAUAUUAUCUGAGCUUUCUUCAAUCAUGUCAUUAAAACAUAGUACUCUUCAAUUACUUUCAUAGUCUG
RNAcentral lists this long non-coding RNA (728 nucleotides) under Sorghum bicolor (sorghum). RNAcentral's name for it is "long non-coding RNA (SBIC_LNC014924)". Lineage: Eukaryota; Viridiplantae; Streptophyta; Magnoliopsida; Poales; Poaceae. The record is from RNAcentral.